Molecule: ribosomal RNA, 425 nt
Filed under: uncultured bacterium
Lineage: Bacteria
Description: bacterial SSU rRNA
Rfam family: Bacterial small subunit ribosomal RNA
Source: RNAcentral
GUGGGGAAUCUUAGACAAUGGGGGCAACCCUGAUCUAGCCAUGCCGCGUGAGUGAUGAAGGCCUUAGGGUCGUAAAGCUCUUUCGCUGGGGAAGAUAAUGACGGUACCCAGUAAAGAAACCCCGGCUAACUCCGUGCCAGCAGCCGCGGUAAUACGGAGGGGGGUAGCGUUGUUCGGAAUUACUGGGCGUAAAGCGCACGUAGGCGGAUCGUUAAGUCGGGGGUGAAAUCCCGGGGCUCAACCCCGGAACUGCCUUCGAUACUGGAGAUCUAGAGUUCGAGAGAGGUGAGUGGAAUUCCGAGUGUAGAGGUGAAAUUCGUAGAUAUUCGGAGGAACACCAGUGGCGAAGGCGGCUCACUGGCUCGAUACUGACGCUGAGGUGCGAAAGCGUGGGGAGCAAACAGGAUUAGAAACCCUUGUAGUCC